GAUGAACGCUAGCGAUAGGCUUAACACAUGCAAGUCGAGGGGCAGCACAAGGUAGCUUGCUAUCUGGGUGGCGACCGGCGCACGGGUGCGUAACGCGUAUGCAACUUGCCCUAUACAGGAGGAUAACCCGUCGAAAGACGGACUAAUACUGCGUAUGCUCACAACUUGGCAUCAAGUGGUGAGGAAAGAAAUUCGGUAUAGGAUAGGCAUGCGUCCCAUUAGCUUGUUGGUGAGGUAACGGCUCACCAAGGCAACGAUGGGUAGGGGAACUGAGAGGUUUAUCCCCCACACUGGUACUGAGACACGGACCAGACUCCUACGGGAGGCAGCAGUGAGGAAUAUUGGUCAAUGGGCGCGAGCCUGAACCAGCCAAGUCGCGUGAAGGAUGACUGUCUUAUGGAUUGUAAACUUCUUUUAUACGGGAAUAACAAGAGUCACGUGUGACUCCCUGCAUGUACCGUAUGAAUAAGCAUCGGCUAACUCCAUG
Molecule: ribosomal RNA, 487 nt
Filed under: uncultured bacterium
Lineage: Bacteria
Description: partial 16S ribosomal RNA
Rfam family: Bacterial small subunit ribosomal RNA
Source: RNAcentral